This is a long non-coding RNA of Anguilla anguilla (European eel), 147 nucleotides long. RefSeq lists it as uncharacterized. Lineage: Eukaryota; Metazoa; Chordata; Actinopteri; Anguilliformes; Anguillidae. The record is from RefSeq and is a predicted model, not a curated record. The transcript has 3 exons.
AGUGAACAAGGAUCCCUUGGAAGAAGGCAAUGCUUCACUUGACGAUUUUCUAUUCACCAAAAGAUUGUGUGAAAAUAGCGAAUGUAAACCAAAGAAAUCGAAAGAUAGUGCUCCACGUGGCCAUUCACAAGGCUCCAAAAGAGUGCA